Long non-coding RNA from Brienomyrus brachyistius, 3696 nucleotides. RefSeq lists it as uncharacterized. NCBI's taxonomy places the organism in Eukaryota, Metazoa, Chordata, Actinopteri, Osteoglossiformes, Mormyridae. The record is from RefSeq and is a predicted model, not a curated record. The transcript has 6 exons.
UAUGUAUUAUUCCAAUAGCAGCCAUUGUUUACAGCGUACACCCUUACAGCGUAAACUUCGAUACAACAUCCAAAUUUCUAGAGAAAAAAGUGGAGGACAUUGUGCUUGGAAGAAUUGUUGAGAAAGCUACCAAGCAAACAAAAGUAACUGACUUUUUCAAGGCACAGACUCUCUACAUUUAAAGUAAAAUUCAAACUUCCCGCAUUAAAUGAGUUGCAUUGACCGCUAGUUACUGGACUGCGUAGUAAUGGCUUAAGUGUUGUGUGCGUAUUCUUUGUUUAUUAAAUCUUGUGAAAUACCGGUCAUGCCGGUAAUUGUGAAUUCAGAAUAAUAAUUGAAGUAAACGAUUUUAUGAUUUAAUUUGAACGAUAUUUCAUUAAUAUUUUCAGGCCAAAUGCCAAUUUGGAUGCGAAUGUUUAUUUUAAAAGUCAAUUUUGACCAGCCGUUGUGUAUUUUCUUUGCAGUUUAUCGCCGGCCGGCACUAAGUAAUCGUGAGUAAUUUAAGGAAAAUUUCAAGGAUCCAAAUGAGCUUUGUUGAAUUAUUUAACAAGUAAUAAUGUGUUCGUUUGUUUUGUAGUCAAUUUAAGGGUCUGUUCUAUUAAAGUUUGAUCAUUUACAUGGAUAUUUCAUGAGUUCUUUCAUCCAUCGUGCACUAAGUUGUUACAAUGUUCUAUGCUUAUAACGUACUAGGCACUUGGACAAAUUUUUUUCAUGUACUGCUAAUACUCUUUUUGUCACAAUGGCAGGAUAGAUCUUUUGAAACCAUAAAAAAUGACACCUCAUUUGUUAAAAUCGGUUGGAUAUUAACCGAGAUAUGGUGAUUUAAAGGUGCAUAAAAGUGCGCAUAAAGGCCUAUUGAAAUGUACAGCCAUUGAAACAAUAACUGUGAUCAAAAAUGACCUUAAUUAGUUCCCCUGUUGCUCACUAGCUAAGGAAGCUACUACAGUGAAAGUUGACAUGCUUACUGAGGGAUAGAGGCGACAUAGUCUGAUCAAGCAUUGACCUAGAUAACUGACCUUGACCUUCAAUACCAAGGUCAAGUAAAGGUAAAGUCAAACAGGAUCUGUAAAAAGAAAGGGACCAUUAGUACCUAAAAAGCCUGCUUUCUUUCAUUGAAGUACCUAUUAAGUAUGCCAAAUGAAAGAAGAAUGUUAUUUGAGUAUUGUACAUUUAAAUUUCACGUGGCGGCCAUCUUGGAGACGUGGCGGCCAUCUUGGAGACGUGGCGGCCAUCUUGGAGACCGGGUUGCACAUCAAGGUUUGGGUUGACCAAACUGAAAUAAUUUACGCGGAAACAAGACGUGCGGCGAGGAAAGCAAAGCCCGAAAAGGACGUCAUCCCUAUGGAAGUGCACUUCAAAACCGACAGGACCAAGAGGGUCCAGCUGCAGCCGACUGUAGAGUGGAGCUCCACAGGAUAUAUGUCACCUCCACAGGAAACACGUGAUCUUUAAGAGCGUAAAGUGGGGCAAAUCUUUACGACGUAAAGUGGAGCUCCACAGGAAACACGCGAUCUCCACUGUGUUUGUACCAAGAGAGUCUGGACUAAGUCUUCGAAUCUGAAUUGCCAUUACAUUAAAAGGAACAUUGUUUUAUAAACCAAAUUGUAAACAUGGAUCCCAGUUUAAAAGCGGCUUUGCUUUUUCAAGACAAAAUUAUAUGGCGGUGCACACUACCAUGCCUGGACAAGGGACAUUGUCAGCCGGACUUGGCUUCCUCCCUACAACUGUGAGCCACUUCAGUCCCUUCCUGCAAGUACAAAUUUCCUGGGUGACUAUUAUUUAGAACUAGUGUAAGAGUACUUCAUGUACUUAUUGUGUUCCCACUAUGGACUCCUGGGCAUUUUCAACUUUGUGUAUGUAGGAGCACAUCAAUACCAUACAAUGCACUUAACCGAAUAAAAGCCCAAAAGUCUGAGGAUGUUAGGAUAUUAAGAUUUUAUUGUAAUUGUGUCAGUUACAUCUUGGUACAGCUUUAAUUUACGCAGUUUAAGCCAUGGGCAACUACUGUGAAUCAUUGACUGACUGUUAUUGCAAUGGCAUUGCUUAACACCUUGAGUAACUGUCUCUUAGGUGGUGAAGCCAGGUAAAAAAGAAAUGUUCUUUCUUGACUCGCGAUGUGCUAAGAAAAGGACAGGAUUUGGUGGCCACCAAUAUGUGUCACUCUUGAGGUCAAUUUUCUGUUUAUGUUAGUGUGCAGGAACCUGUUCAGUGUUCCAGGUUAAGUACAUUUUAGAUCACGUUCUGAUCUAUUUUGUGUUCAGCAUGUCUUCAGUUUAUUCAGUGAAUUCACAUGCUUACUUGACAGACCUGUACUGUGGAGUACAGCCUUUUGAUUAAUAGGUGAUACAUCAGAUGUUAAAUCAGAUAUUUAAAUAAUAGUAUUAAAAUACCUAGAAGAUGAGUUCUGACAGUAGAAUUGGUUUAUCCGAUAUAGUUACCAAAUUAUGUCAUUAAAUUGUCGUUAUAAUUGGGCAGUGCAGUUCAAUCUGAAUAAAUGUGUCAGCUAAAUCCUGUAAAUGUUAAAAUAUGAUGAAACAGAAAUUACAGAACUUCUGUAGAGGUUGAUCAAGACUAAGCAAAUGAAUGUACUUUCACAUUUUGCUAAUUGUGUACAGGCUGUGUUUUUAAGCCUGUUUAUAAAGAGCAUGCUGUUGCAGCAUUAACAGUUAACAGUUGUUAACAAUUAAUACUUUAUUUGUACUAGCAGUAAUUUCUGUAUGUUGUAUCUUAAAAUAACAGGAAGCUUGCAGAGAAUAUCAGUCCAGGGGAGUGGUCUGAAAUGAAUGGCUUUGAGUUGGUGGUAUGUGAUCAUGUGUGUGAUUAUAUCGAGAUUUUCUAAUACAGGUAUAUUGAUGAAAUGUGAUUUAAAGAGUGUUUUAUCCCAUUGUGAUAAUAAAGGGGUUUCCAAGCCAAGACUUUGGGGUUGACUGGCAUCUACAUGUUGAUGGUAAGAUUCAUCAUUCAGAUAUUUUUGGACUGUCAAGAUGCUUUUGAGAAUAAGUCAUGAACAUUGACAUUUAUUUUUUAAUUGACAGUCUGCUUUAUAUGUAGUGCUGGAUGCUCCCUUUGAUUACACCAUAGUAAGUAGCUUUUUUAGAGAGUAAUAAAGUAUGUGUGCAAAGAAGUCACUAAAUGCACUAAAUUGAUUUUUAAUAGUUAGACAUGCCGAAAUUGCGGAAAUGGUGGUGCCUGCUAAUGGAAAACUUCGAUCUCAAAGUUAUGGGAAGGUAUUUGCACACUGGACAAAGGAAUCAGAGGCUGUGCUGAAAGGUGAACAUGCACCUGUAUUCAGACUAAAAGCGCAAAUCUGUGGAACUCAGUCUGAAACCAGCAAUCGUCUCUGAUCUACACAUUGCUAUGGAGUGGAUUAAGAGGAAUGAGGCUCUAUUCAGUGGGCAAAUAACCAUUCCCAAACGUGUGACCAUGACGGAAGAGCACCACCAGAAGGCCCCAAGGGAUGUGCUGGAUGGAGACAACAUAGAAUCCAAGGAGCCAUUCCUCUUUGGUUUUCAGGUCCAAGAGGACAUGGAAUAAUUUUUACAGGCCUGUGUUGACCAGCGGGGCCUUCGGGUUAAUGCUGUCUGCUAUAAGAAUGAUUAAAUUACUGGCACAUGAGUGUGUUGAUUGAUUAUUAUUUUUUAUUUCAUCCUGUUUGUUGUUGCCGUCUAAAUAAAUUUAACAGUUGAUUGAAUAUAA